Molecule: long non-coding RNA, 2118 nt
Filed under: Calidris pygmaea (Spoon-billed sandpiper)
Lineage: Eukaryota; Metazoa; Chordata; Aves; Charadriiformes; Scolopacidae
Description: lncRNA (ENSCPGG00000003978.1)
Source: RNAcentral
AAUCAUCUUUGAGGAAAUGAAUUUUUGACUUGCAUGUUGAUGAACAAAUAGUAGGAAAGUGAUCGGGUUGACAGUAUUCCUGUAAUUGUGAUUUUUUCAUAUUACUUGAGAGCUAAUUGAGGGGUUUGGUUUUCAGGUUGGUUAAAAAAGAUGAUCAUGAAGUGAAUGUACCAGAAAUGACAUCCAGGAAAAUCAUGGUUACUCCUGGGCGAAAACCAAAAGUGACAACUGAUAAUGAAGCUGACUGGAUGCCUUCUCCUAUGGUACUUGUAUUCUGUACUCCUGAUGUGAAAACCCCUUCCAGAACAAAUAGCAUGUUGUCAAGGUCACCAGAGACAAAUGAACUGCCUCUUCCCGCUCAUAUGCAAACACCGCAGUUUCCAGAUUUUGAAACAAGAUGGCUAAAAACAGAAGCUAAGCAGGUAAAGGAGAAGGAAAAGAUUGAGUCUGUGACAAAGAAUGAUGCAACAGAUAAACAGCACAUAGAAGAGAGCAUUCCUUCUACUGUGAGCUCUGAUGAGUAUCUCAAACAUCUUGAAGACCUUUCUCCUCCCAAAAUAAAGUCAUAUGACCAGUUACUCAGUACUCCUCCACCUCCAGAAAUAACAAGGAUACCAGAUGAUAUUCUACAGAUUCUGUCCAAGUAUAGUCAUAAAGCAGACUCUUCUAAAGCUAAGGUAAUGGAGACCAAGGCAGGAAAUAUCACAAGAUAUGAAAGCGACUACACUGAUUACUGCAACAAAGAGAACAGAGGAUAUUCUGGAUUUUUCAAGCCAAACGUCUGAAAGCAAGCUGAAGACCAUGUUGAGACUGUUUCAUAUUCAUGGGUCUUAUCACUGAAUCACAACAAGCUCGAAAAGUGAAAGAAAAUACUGGUGGGAGGAAAGAGCCAUACAAAGGAGGAGCUUUUUUAACAGAGAAAGUUUGAUGUAGAUAAACUUGUUUACACAAACAACUUGUGCUUAAUUUUUAACUGAAAUUAUUGGCAAAACAUGUUUAGGGUUUUUAAAUAUAUGUAUGCUUCAAAGAGGACUGGGGCCAUGUCUGAGGUAGUACUUCAGGUGUUUUGCCUGAUUCUCGUGUUUGCAGCAGGUUGUAGAGAAGUGUAGUUCGGUUACAAGGAAGGGAAGGUCCAGUAUAUUCCCCCAGGAAGUGGGUAUCCCUGGCUGUUCUGGUGACACUGCACAUCUCUUCAGGGCUGAGUUUGAAAUGUAGUACUUCAACAGUGUUUGCUAUCUUCAACAGAAACAAGUCUUUGUAUGUGAAGAGUAACUCCUCUUUAAAUCACUUCUGUAAUACUAAGACAUAUCAGAUGUAUCAGGCUCUUACCUGUCUGAUGGACAAGUAUUUCUUAUGCUGCUUCUUCUUUCUUAUUAUAGUUCUCUUUCAUCAACAUCAUAUGCUCUAUAUCUGUUUUCCUUUUGACAGUCUAACCUCUGUAGCCCUAAAAGGUGACUCUGGAUCGCAUAGAAUUACUUGAAAAUAUAUUGUGCAAUAGGUGCUGCUUAUGUAUAUCUUCCAACUGCUGGAGAGAUUUCUGGUAGGUGUGUGAUUGCUUGAUCUUCUACGCUGCUGCCAUGUGCAUUCUCUAAGUGGUGGUGUCACUUCUAAACAUGCUGUGUCAGCUAUUCCUCUGAGUGACUCCAGGCUUGCUCUUACUGACAGUAUGUGGUUUUCCUGCUGAUGGCUAAAAUCCUGUCAUUUGUAUGAGGCUAGGCAUGCAAAACAUGAGUAGGAAGCAACUGUCCCAGGAGAUGGGGAGAAGAGGGCUCCACAUUUUUUAUAUAUAUUAUUUUUUACAUCCUCAGGAUAUGCAAACAUCUGAAGAUGCCCAGAAGUAUUUCUUCAGUUGCUUAGAUGGACUUACCCUGACUAAAACCUAGCAAGUAAAGGAGCCUUUUUCCUCCUAUUCCAGUCAUUCUCCAGGAUUAAGGAUAUAUUAAAUUAAAUGGAGAAGCUGAUUUUCUACUCAUUCUGGCCAGAGCACACUGUCAUUUUUUGGUGCUAGCUUCUGUUGAAAAAUAUGUAUAUAGUAUUAUUAUUAUGUAUCAGUCUUUCUGCUUGAUCAGCAUUUUUGAAUGGUAAAUAAAGGUCUUGGAUGCUUGGUGGCUGCUUGCA